AUGUUUGCUGUCCUAGUCGUUCAGGAAUGGCCCCCCCUCCUCUCACUCCUCCUCCUCUUCCUCCUCCGCCUCCUCUCCUGCUGGGGCUGCUGGGGCAGGUGGCCCAUGGGGCGAGGAGGGGAGGGGAGGGGAGGAUGGGCCGGGCUGGGCUCUGGCAGCUUUCUCCCUCCCCCUCCCCUUCCCCUUCCCCCCUCUCCGGCCCUCAGAGGUCAGUCAGUCCGUCCGUCAGUCAGGCUGGGCUUCCAAGGCCCGGCUCCCUCAGCUCCCAGCCCAAGUACAACGGUGCACCACGGGGACAGGAUGGGGGUGGAGGGUGGAGGAUGGAGGACAGGCCGGGGUGGGAGGGAGGAGGAGAAAUGGGGAGGAGGGAGAGGAGGAGAAAGUGGGCUGGAAGGGGAGGAGGGUGGAGGGGGACAGGGAUGGAGGAGGAGAAGAGAGUGGGCUGGGGAAGAGGAUGGGGGGACAGGGAUGGAGGAGGAGGAGGAGAAGAAAGUGGGCUGGAGGGGGAGGAGGGUGGAGGGUGACAAGAAUGGGGGAGGAGAAAGUGAGCUGGAGGAGGUGGAGAGGGACAGGGAUGGAGGAGGAGAAAGUGGGCUGGGGAGGAGGAUGGAGGGGGACAGGGAUGGAGGAGGAGGAGGAGAAAAUGGGCUGGAGGAGGUGGAGGGGGACAGGGAUGGAAGAGGAGGAGAAAAUGGGCUGGGAAGGAGGGUGGAGGGGGACAGGGAUGGAGGAGGAGAAAAUGGGCCGGGGAGGAUGGAGGGGGGCAGGGAUGGAGGAGGAGAAAGUGGGCUGGAGGAGGAGGAAAUGGGCUGGGGAGAAGGAUGGAGGGGGACAGGGAUGGAGGAGGAGGAGAAAGUGGGCUGGAGGAGGGUGGAGGGUGAAAGGGAUGGAGGAGGAGAAAGUUGGGCUGAAGGAGGUGGAGAGGGACAGGGAUGGAGGAGGAGGGGGAGAAAGUGGGCUGAGGGGGAGGAGAAAGUGGACUGGGGAGGAGGAGAAAGUGGGUUGGGAGGAGGAGAAAGUGGGUUGGGGAGGAGGGUGGAGAGGGCUAGGGAUAGAGGAGGAGGGGGAGAAAGUGGGCUGGGGUGGAGGGCUGCGGGCAAGUGA
Molecule: long non-coding RNA, 1104 nt
Filed under: Ornithorhynchus anatinus (platypus)
Lineage: Eukaryota; Metazoa; Chordata; Mammalia; Monotremata; Ornithorhynchidae
Description: lncRNA (ENSOANG00000051064.1)
Source: RNAcentral